Molecule: ribosomal RNA, 461 nt
Filed under: uncultured bacterium
Lineage: Bacteria
Description: partial 16S ribosomal RNA
Rfam family: Bacterial small subunit ribosomal RNA
Source: RNAcentral
AACGAACGCUGGCGGCAUGCUUAACAAAUGCAAGUCGAACGGAAUAAUUUAGCUUGCUAAAUUAUCUAGGGGCAAACGGGUGAGUAACGCGUGUGAAUCUACCUUGCAGUACGGACUAACAAUUAGAACGGAUCGCUAAUAACGUAUGGACUCUUCGGAGUGAAGAUUUAUCGCUACAAGAUGAGCCCGCGUAAUAUGAGCGAGUUGGUGGGGUAAUGGCCUACUAAGGCAACGAUCUGUAGCUGGUCUGAGAGGACGACGAGCCACACUGGGACUGAGACGCGGCCCAGACUCCUAGGGGAGUCAGCAGUGGGGAAUAUUGGACAAUUGGAGAAAGCCUGAUCCAGAAAUGCCGCGUAAGUGUAGAAGGCCUUAGGGGUAUAAAGUUCUUUUAGGGGGGAAAUUUAUGAUGGUACCCACAGAAAAAGCUCCUGCUAACUCCGUGCCAGCCGCCGCCGUAA